RNAcentral lists this transfer RNA (71 nucleotides) under Solanum lycopersicum (tomato). It matches the Rfam family "tRNA". From Rfam's summary of the family: Transfer RNA (tRNA) molecules are approximately 80 nucleotides in length. The record is from Rfam by way of RNAcentral. Lineage: Eukaryota; Viridiplantae; Streptophyta; Magnoliopsida; Solanales; Solanaceae.
GGGAAUAGCUUAGUUGGUAGAGAAGAGGAUUGAAAAUCCUCAUGUCACCAGUUCAAAUCUAGUUCUUUUCA